GCCAGACUCCUACGGGAGGCAGCAGUGAGGAAUAUUGGUCAAUGGGCGGGAGCCUGAACCAGCCAAGUCGCGUGAGGGAUGACGGCCCUAUGGGUUGUAAACCUCUUUUGCCGGGGAGCAAAGUGCCGCACGUGUGCGGUUUGGAGAGUACCCGGAGAAAAAGCAUCGGCUAACUCCGUGCCAGCAGCCGCGGUAAUACGUAGGGGGCAAGCGUUAUCCGGAUUUACUGGGUGUAAAGGGGGCGCAGACGGCAGCGCAAGCCAGGAGUGAAAGCCCGGGGCCCAACCCCGGGACUGCUCUUGGAACUGCGCGGCUGGAGUGCAGGAGGGGCAGGCGGAAUUCCUGGUGUAGCGGUGAAAUGCGUAGAUAUCAGGAGGAACACCGGUGGCGAAGGCGGCCUGCUGGACUGCGACUGACGUUGAGGCCCGAAAGCGUGGGGAGCAAACAGGAUUAGAUACCCCAGUAGA
RNAcentral lists this ribosomal RNA (467 nucleotides) under uncultured bacterium. RNAcentral's name for it is "partial 16S ribosomal RNA". It matches the Rfam family "Bacterial small subunit ribosomal RNA", at positions 330 to 794 of the family's 1533-position model. The record is from RNAcentral.